RNAcentral lists this transfer RNA (70 nucleotides) under Manulea crassifolia. RNAcentral describes it as "partial transfer RNA-Leu (UAA)". It matches the Rfam family "tRNA", at positions 16 to 71 of the family's 71-position model. From Rfam's summary of the family: Transfer RNA (tRNA) molecules are approximately 80 nucleotides in length. Their secondary structure includes four short double-helical elements and three loops (D, anti-codon, and T loops). The record is from RNAcentral. Lineage: Eukaryota; Viridiplantae; Streptophyta; Magnoliopsida; Lamiales; Scrophulariaceae.
UCGGUAGACGCUACGGACUUAAAAUCCGUCGAUUUAAAAAAUCGUGAGGGUUCAAGUCCCUCUAUCCCCA